RNAcentral lists this ribosomal RNA (301 nucleotides) under uncultured bacterium. RNAcentral describes it as "partial 16S ribosomal RNA". It matches the Rfam family "Bacterial small subunit ribosomal RNA", at positions 509 to 807 of the family's 1533-position model. The record is from RNAcentral.
CAGCAGCCACGGUAAUACGUAGGGUGCGAGCGUUAAUCGGAAUUACUGGGCGUAAAGCGGGCGCAGACGGUUACUUAAGCAGGAUGUGAAAUCCCCGGGCUCAACCUGGGAACUGCGUUCUGAACUGGGUGACUAGAGUGUGUCAGAGGGAGGUAGAAUUCCACGUGUAGCAGUGAAAUGCGUAGAGAUGUGGAGGAAUACCGAUGGCGAAGGCAGCCUCCUGGGAUAACACUGACGUUCAUGCCCGAAAGCGUGGGUAGCAAACAGGAUUAGAUACCCCAGUAGUCCCUGUCUCUUAUAC